ACAAGAUAAUAGUUUGUGUUG
RNAcentral lists this microRNA (21 nucleotides) under Cordylochernes scorpioides. Lineage: Eukaryota; Metazoa; Arthropoda; Arachnida; Pseudoscorpiones; Chernetidae. The record is from RNAcentral.